UUCGUAGGCGGUGUGGCAAGUCGGGAGUGAAAUCUCUGGGCUUAACUCAGAGGCUGCUUCCGAAACUGCUGUGCUUGAGUGUGGGAGAGGCGCGUGGAAUUGCAGGUGUAGCGGUGAAAUGCGUAGAUAUCUGCAGGAACACCCGUGGCGAAAGCGGCGCGCUGGACCACAACUGACGCUGAGGAACGAAAGCUAGGGGAGCAAACAGGAUUAGAUACCCUGGUAGUCCUAGCCCUAAACGAUCAGGACUUGGGGUGCCGCCCGUUCGGGCGUCGUCCCGGAGCUAACGCGUUAAGUCCUGCACCUGGGGAGUACGGUCGCAAGACUGAA
Molecule: ribosomal RNA, 330 nt
Filed under: uncultured bacterium
Lineage: Bacteria
Description: bacterial SSU rRNA
Rfam family: Bacterial small subunit ribosomal RNA
Source: RNAcentral